Dreissena polymorpha is the source of this 1105-nucleotide long non-coding RNA. RefSeq lists it as uncharacterized. The transcript has 6 exons. The record is from RefSeq and is a predicted model, not a curated record. Lineage: Eukaryota; Metazoa; Mollusca; Bivalvia; Myida; Dreissenidae.
AUAAUGAACCUAAUGCAUGUCAUUAUUUCAUCUGUAUUUAUUAUUAUUGUUUACUUUUUGAGCCUUUUACUGUUAAAAAUGCCCGCCAAUUUUGGACCGACACUUCUAUCUGCCUUCGCCUUCAACCCAUUCAGGCAGAUCUACUCAGAAUAAUACUACUUUGCCAUAUUUUACCUGUUUGGAUAUCUUGCUGAGUUCAAGUAAAAUCAAGUAUUCAGCUGAAAACACAAAAAUGAUAAUAAUAUUAUGCUUUCUUUCCUGGAAGAAUGUUGUUGCGAUAGACCCUGCAUGAAAAACACCAGGGAAUCUGUAUUUAAGUGACCUUAAUAUUAUGCGUAAACCUAAGUGUGCAUUUGUAGGCGGUGUCGAAAUGGGUCUAUAGCUCUGUCUGAACUGUCGUCCAAUUGGUUUACAAGUCCGGCUGAAGAGACAGGCCAUCAAAAACUGUACAGCAUGACUGAUUCGGAGACGGCCCUCGACACUCGCCCAGUCGUGUCGAGAGGAUCGGUGUCUUUGCAGAUUACACGGAAUUGAGCACCCGGGCCAGACUGACACUUUCCGGAGCCUGCCCGAGACGGAACUCGAGCCGAGGAAUCAUAGGUCCAGGCGGUGUCGAAAUGGGUCUAUAGCUCUGCCUGAACUGUCGUCCAAUUGGUUUACAAGUCCGGCUGAAGAUACAGGCCAUCAAAAACUGUACAGCAUGACUGAUUCGGAGACGGCCCUCGACACUCGCCCAAUCGUGUCGAGAGGAUCGGUGUCUUUGCAGAUUACACGGAAUUGAGCACCCGGGCCAGACUGACACUUUCCGGAGCCUGCCCGAGACGGAACUCGAGCCGAGGAAUCAUAGGUCCAGGCGGUGUCGAAAUGGGUCUAUAGCUCUGCCUGAACUGUCGUCCAAUUGGUUUACAAGUCCGGCUGAAGAGACAGGCCAUCAAAAACUGUACAGCAUGACUGAUUCGGAGACGGCCCUCGACACUCGCCCAGUCGUGUCGAGAGGAUCGGUGUCUUUGCAGAUUACACGGAAUUGAGCACCCGGGCCAGACUGACACUUUCCGGAGCCUGCCCUAGACGGAACUCGAGCCGAGGAAUCAUAGGUCCAGAAAGC